CUCAACUAGGAGAGGCCGUUCGAAACUAGGUUUCUAGAGGCUGGUAGAGGAGAGUGGAAUUCCCGGUGUAGUGGUGAAAUGCGUAGAUAUCGGGAGGAACACCAGUGGCGAAAGCGGCUCUCUGGGCCAGUCCUGACGCUCAGAUGCGAAAGCUAGGGGAGAGAACGGGAUUAGAAACCCCGGUAUUCCUAGCCGUAAACGAUGUCAACUAGGCGUAGGUGGUGAUUGACCCCAUCUGUGCUGCAGCCAACGCGAUAAGUUGACCGCCUGGGGAGUACGGCCGCAAGGCUAAAACUCAAAAGAAUUGACGGGGGCCCGCACAAGCAGCGGAGCAUGUUCUUUAAUUCGAUGCAACGCGAAGAACCUUACCUGGACUUGACAUGGUGCUGCAAGCGCACUGAAACGUGUGACCUUCGAGGGUGC
RNAcentral lists this ribosomal RNA (423 nucleotides) under uncultured Actinomycetes bacterium. RNAcentral's name for it is "bacterial SSU rRNA". It matches the Rfam family "Bacterial small subunit ribosomal RNA", at positions 608 to 1028 of the family's 1533-position model. The record is from RNAcentral. Lineage: Bacteria; Bacillati; Actinomycetota; Actinomycetes.